GGAACAACUUUGUCGAACGAGAGAGGAGACCGAGCGACAACGCCGACAGCAAGACGACAUUUUUUUGGCUCCGAUCGUGUUGCACAUGCAAGAUCUCCCAGUAAACAUCACUCUAAACACACCCAGGAUCCUCUCAGAAACAAUCUGGCCUUAGCUGACAACUCGGGAAAUGAAAUCAGCACCGUAACGCACAGAAAGCAACAAGCAGGGGAUGAUUUGCGCUUCCGAAGCACCUCAUUGCCCUCGAAUGUACGUUUUUAAAGUCAGCUGUUUUUCUUCAAAACUGGACUAUGUUCUCACCACAUCAUUGAACAUGAGUGCUUGCCCUCAAUGGUCCUUCAAGAUUUCAAUGACAGGCUUGAAAUGGAAGGGGAAAAGUUCUCCAUAACUAAACUCCAAAACAAACGGUUUUCAGGGCACGCUUGUUGUGUGUGAUGUCUUGGUGAUUUAAGUAAAAUUAAAAAGGACAGAAAGGGCUCAGGUCAAAGCCAGGACAAAUAGACUUGGCGCCACACUCAAAGAGGAUCAAAUACUUCAUGAAUAUUUGAAUAGCGUGAUGCUUUUGCUUCAAGUGUUGUUGGAGUUAAUGACGUUAUGGCAGUUUUCCUACCAUAUACAAACAACAGAUGAAAAGUUUACACAACAGCUCAGCAAAUACAAAGGAAAAGCUGCAGGGCAUCCUCUGCGUCCGGGUUGGAGAGGGUGUGCAGUGAGAAAAGCCUACAGACACACCUCAGGAACUUUGAAGGUCAACACAGGGUGAUGGAGGUGCUACGAGACAGUAAAGCGACCAAGGUGCAAAUCCUCAAGAUGAAGCAGUUUGUGCAGAAGUCGAUCCUGGCGCUGAGGAGGUGGGCCGUUGCCUCAAAGACACCAAUGCGCAGCAGGAGGACACGCUAUAUGCUGGAAAGAUGGAGCUGCAAUGGUUCCACAACAGGAUUCAACGAUCCAGACGCUUCAGAAACCUUGCAGAGACAUUCCGCUUUUCAACCUUCCCUGUCACCUGCUGGAGAGCUGCCAGGACGCUCAAUGCAAGCGUAGAAAAUAAAAGGCUAACUUAACAAGAUACAAAGUAAAAGAAAUACAGGAGAACUCACCAGCACAGAUGAUGGCACGGACAACAUGACAUGACAAUUAAAAAAAACAGCCAACUAAAUAUAAACAGACUGACAAAAUCAUGAGGCGCACCUGGAUAUGACAAGUGGCUGGGGGGAGCUGAUUGGGUGACACAAGGAGCAUGGCUAAUGAGGUCAGACGGAGAACAAAACAUAACGACAUGAACGAAGGACACAGGAAAACAAGACAGAACAUGGAGCAAAACUAAGUCGAACAAGUUUAGGCACCUCACAUUCGAGCAGAGUAUAGCGUACAUAACUUGAGUAAGUAGUACAAAGUGUGUGACAUGAUCGUGAGAAAAGAUGAUGCAGUUCAUGGAGUGAAAGGGCGAACACCACGUAAAAAAGCCAGACGUUCAACUCGAGCCAUGCGACAUCCAUCAGCUGAUUGGUCACCAAGAGGAACUUUCCCCUCAGCCACCGCAGGCAGGGAGCUCCGGUCUGGAGCAGAAGCGUCCG
Phycodurus eques (leafy seadragon) is the source of this 1574-nucleotide RNA transcript. It is a transcript of the gene named gastrula zinc finger protein XlCGF8.2DB-like, with no coding region annotated. The record is from RefSeq and is a predicted model, not a curated record. The transcript is spliced from 3 exons. Lineage: Eukaryota; Metazoa; Chordata; Actinopteri; Syngnathiformes; Syngnathidae.